RNAcentral lists this ribosomal RNA (497 nucleotides) under uncultured bacterium. RNAcentral describes it as "partial 16S ribosomal RNA". It matches the Rfam family "Bacterial small subunit ribosomal RNA", at positions 28 to 507 of the family's 1533-position model. The record is from RNAcentral.
GAUGAACGCUGGCGGCGUGCCUAAUACAUGCAAGUCGAGCGAACAGAUGAGGAGCUUGCUCCUCUGACGUUAGCGGCGGACGGGUGAGUAACACGUGGAUAACCUACCUAUAAGACUGGGAUAACUUCGGGAAACCGGAGCUAAUACCGGAUAAUAUAUUGAACCGCAUGGUUCAAUAGUGAAAGACGGUUUUGCUGUCACUUAUAGAUGGAUCCGCGCCGCAUUAGCUAGUUGGUAAGGUAACGGCUUACCAAGGCAACGAUGCGUAGCCGACCUGAGAGGGUGAUCGGCCACACUGGAACUGAGACACGGUCCAGACUCCUACGGGAGGCAGCAGUAGGGAAUCUUCCGCAAUGGGCGAAAGCCUGACGGAGCAACGCCGCGUGAGUGAUGAAGGUCUUCGGAUCGUAAAACUCUGUUAUUAGGGAAGGACAAAUGUGUAAGUAACUAUGCACGUCUUGACGGUACCGAAUCAGAAAGCCACGGCUAACUACGUG